Molecule: non-coding RNA, 85 nt
Filed under: Azotobacter beijerinckii
Lineage: Bacteria; Pseudomonadati; Pseudomonadota; Gammaproteobacteria; Pseudomonadales; Pseudomonadaceae
Source: RNAcentral
CGUUAUGGGCGGGCCGUGUGUGGGGGUCUUCGGACCCGCCGGCCCUCGUACCGGUACGCCAACCCGCACGGUUCCGCUCACCCAA